RNAcentral lists this ribosomal RNA (320 nucleotides) under uncultured bacterium. RNAcentral describes it as "bacterial SSU rRNA". It matches the Rfam family "Bacterial small subunit ribosomal RNA", at positions 33 to 358 of the family's 1533-position model. The record is from RNAcentral.
ACGCUGGCGGCAUGUCCUACACAUGCAAGAAGAACGGUAACGCGGGGCAACCUGGCGACGAGUGGCGAACGGUUUACAAAGUAUCGGAACGUGCCCAGUAGUGGGGGAUAGCCCGGCGAAAGCCGGAUUAAUACCGCAUGAGACCUGAGGGUGAAAGCGGGGGAUCGCAAGACCUCGCGCUAUUGGAGCGGCCGAUAUCAGAUUAGGUAGUUGGUGGGGUAAAGGCCUACCAAGCCGACGAUCUGUAGCUGGUCUGAGAGGACGACCAGCCACACUGGGACUGAGACACGGCCCAGACUCCUACGGGAGGCAGCAGUGGG